AGCACCAAAACAUCAUGUUAUACAACAAAUUUGACAGAAAAAGUAGUUCAAUACGUAGUAAUGCUAUGUAGUAAUUACUGUAUUUACGAAUUUAGCACCAGAAUAUCACGAUGUAUUGAAAACAUUGACUACAAAAAUGCGUUGGAUAAUCCAGAACGUUGGAUAAGUGAGUGUUGGAUAAGUGAGACUCUACUGUAAUAAUAAUAAUAAUAAUGUUAUUACUGGCCUCUCCUCACAUGUUGAGGUGAGGUACAAAAAAGGCAGCUAACUCGGCAUCCUGUUUUCCAUCACAGACUCAUGGUGCAUCUAUACUGCAAAAUUAACACAGUUUGACCCCGUUUGAAUUGCCAUGGCUCAUUGAUAUGGAGUUUAGGGCCGUGUCCUUUGGCGUGGCACAAAACUCUUUGGAAGGCUGGGCAACCUUGUAAAACCAACCCCAGGAUUCCAUAGCAUGGAGCCCUGGCAGUUCAAGCAAGACCAAACUGCGUUAAUUCCGCAGUAUAGAUGCACCCUGAGUCUAUGAUGUAUCGGGCCACAAGGUGGCUCCAGACCCAAACUCAGCCAGAAGGACAGGAUUUCAGCACUAACUAGUUAAUUGAUCCUAGCAUGGCUUUUCGUGCAUAAUAAUUAGUUUUUUAUUAUGAGAUGCAUAAAUAAUAAUAUCCAGUAUGUAUGUCUCCGUUAAAGCAUUACAACUCCCAGGGUGACGUAGUAUUCAGCUAGGGCAAUUAAAGUGGUAUUAAAGUGCAAUUCAUUCUGUGGUGUUUGGAAAUAUUUGGAAAGAUGUCUCAACCAUAUCUAUGGCUGGAUGGCCAUCUGUUAGGAGGGCUUGGAUGGUGUCUCUGCAUGACAUGAAUGGGGUUGGACUGGAUGGCACUUAGGGUCUCUUCCAACUCUAGGAUUCUGUGAUGUUUCUUACAUCUCUCUCAGUCAUAUAUUUCUCAAUCAUACUGUAUCUAUGGCUGGUUGGCCAUCUGUCAGGAGGGCUUGGAUGGUGUCUCUCUGCAUGACAAUAAUGGGGUUGGACUGGAUGGCUCUUGGGGUCAAGGUUCUGUGAUGUUUCUAUCAUCUCUCUCUUUCAGUCAUAUAUUUCUCAAUCAUACUGUAUCUAUGGCUGGAAGGCCAUCUGUCAGGAGGGCUUGGAUGGUGUCUCUCCCGACAAUUGACUGGGACCAAACUUAGCACAGAGAAGCCCCAUGACCAACUGAACAUACUGCAGGGGUUUCUGGGAGUGGGCCUUGAUUUUGGGAGUUAGUCAGAUCCGGACCAAACUUGGCACACAGACCCAACUUGGCCAAUUGCAUACAGGCCUGCUUUGGGGGUGGUUGACCUCAGCUCUGGGAGUUGUAGUUCACCCUUAUCCAGAGAGCCCUGAAACCAGCUGAUGACGGAUCUGGACCAAACUCGCCACACAGACCCAACAUGGCCAACUGCAAAUAAUGGCAGGAUUAGGGGGUGAUUGCCCUAGUAAUCUGGGAGUUGGAGUUCACCCUUAUCCAGACUGAACCCAGCUAGUGACAGAUCUGGAUCAAACUUAAAUGACAAUGUCUAACAUCCCAAAACAAACAGUGCCUUCUUCUAAUAACCCAGGCACCGCCAGGUCCCCAAGUUAGUCUAUUUAUACAUUUAUACAUUUAUAGUUCCCAGUGCUGAGGAGCACCAAGUCAUUCCCUCCCAGGACAUUGCAGGUUACAGCGAGCACAUCCCAGCAUUCCUUUCUCUCUCAUUUGCAUGACUCCGCCUACUGCCUCUCCCUUAACCCUUUCCUACCCUUUCCCAUGGCACGCUGCAAACAGAAGAACUGAUCGGCAACUGAACAUACUAGAGAGAGAGGUUUGGGGAGAAUUCACCAUUGUUAUAGGAGUUGUAGGGACUGGGAUGUAUAGUUCACCUGCAAUCUAAGAGUAUUCUGAAGCACACCAACGAUGGACCUGCAAGUAACUUGGCACUCAGGCCCAAUAUGGCCAACUUUGCAUACUGGUGGGGUUGGGCGUGAUUGACCCUGACAUCCAGGAGUUAUAGUUCUCCCGUAUCCAGAAUAUACUGAAUCUGGACCAAACUUGGCACACAAAUUCAACAUGACCAAACUGGGAAUACUGUUGGAUUUUGGGGGUGAUUGACCUUUAACUCUGGGAGUUAUAGUUCACCUGUGUUCCGUGAGCCCUCUGAACCCUACCAAUGAUGGAUCUGGACCAAACUUGGCACACAGACCCAAAGCUGCCAACUUGGGGGGAUUGACCUUGGCAUCGGAGAGUUAUAGUUCACCCGUAUUCAGAGAACACUGAUCCCAGCAAGUGAUGGAUCCGGACCAAACUUGGCACACAGACCCAACAUAGCCAAGUGUGCAUACUGGCACGAUGUCGGGGUGAUUUCCCUAGGAAUCUGGGAGUUGUAGUUUGUUAAUGUGGGAUUUGUGUAUUAGUAGUGUUUAAAUGAAAUUUGUAUCUAGCAUGUAUUGCAUCAUCCAGGAAAUGCUAUAGUGUGUAAAGAGUUAAUUUGGUAAGAAGCUGUAUUGACCUUGGAUAUGUGGCUGGAGCCAGAUAGGAGUGUCCAGACUCAAGUGUGUUUGUACAUUACUGAUUGAGUCAGUUGAGAUCUUGCUCUGUUCUGAGUUUGUGUCUGCCUAGAGUGAAAGCCAAGCCUGUAUUCAUCUGCAAUUCUGUUUUGUCUUGUAUAGUAAAACUUUGUAUAUAUUUUUAACAUUGUUUCUGACGUCUCUUCAUUCUGCGCUCCAUUGACAACAUACAACUGCUGCUACGCUGCGAAUUACUCUGACAUAGUUCACCCUUAUCCAGAGAACACUGAAUCCAGAAGAUGAUGGCUCUGAACCAAAUUUGGCAUACAGACCCAACAUGGCCAACUGGGGGAGUUUGGGAAGGAUUGACCCAAGAUUUUUGGGAAUUGUAGUUCACCCACACCCUUACGCAUUUUCUAGUGGGAUCAUUCAUAAAAAACAAAAGCAAAGACUGGCAUUUUUCUAACGAAUAGUGCAACGUAUGACCAAACUGAUAUGACAUAACAUCCAAAAACAAAUAAUUUCAAAUAACUUGGGCACCGCUGGGUCAUAACAAAUAGUGUAACGUAUGACCAAACUGAUAUCACCUAACGUAUCACCAAACUGAUGUGACAUAAUAUCAAAAAUAAAUAAUUUCCAAUAACUCGAGCACCGCUGGGUAGUAACAAAUAGCACAUUGUAUGACCAGACUGAUAUGACCUAACAUCCAAAAACAAAUAUUUUCCAAUAAUUUGGGCACCACUGGGUAGUAACAUGUAGCGUAACGUAUGACCAAAGUGAUAUGACCUAACAUCCAAAAACAAACUAUUUCCAAUUACUUGGGCACCGCUGGAUAGUAACAAAUAGAGCAACAUAUGGCCACACUGAUAUGACCUAGCAUCCAAAAACAAAUAAUAAGUCUUGCACACCUUGCCCCACCUGGACCUUAUCCAGAAACAUUAUUGCACAGGUAAGUAGGAAAGGUGGGCGGAUUCACCUAUAAAACCCAGCUGCCUUUGCCCAGAUAAGUCUUUGCAUGCAUUCACCAUUGAAGGAACAUGGGUUGCGUCAUCCGCGAAGCCACCAUAGAGGACUGCAAACACAUUAUGAGCUUGAUACAGGAAAUUGCUGCUUAUCAUCACUUAGAGGAUGACAUAAAAAUAAAUUUAGAAGUUUUAAAAGCAGACGGCUUUGGCGCAAACCCCUUCUUCAAAUGCUUACUGGCUGAAUGGCCUGCAGAAAAUGGAAAUAAACCAGGUUGCCCCAUCGGCUAUACCAUCUACUAUUUCGGGUACAGUGUGGACCGUGGUCGGAUCCUCUAUAUGGAAAACCUGUACGUUGUGCCUGAAUUCAGAAGCAAAGGAAUUGGGAUGGAAUUGAUGAAGAAACUCGCAGAGAUCGCUCUGGCUGCCGGCUGCAUGGAAAUCAAAUUCCUGGUGAUGGGAUGGAACCAAAGGGCCAAGGACUUCUAUGAAUGGGCGGGCGCCCACGAUACUACAGAGUCCAAGCAAUGGCACUGCAUGGAAGUGGACUGGGACAGCUUGCAAAGGCUGGCUGGGCCUUGACGGGAAUCCAAGGCCUAUGGGGAUGAUGGGAUCUGCAGUCCAAAUAGGGACUACAACUCCCAGAAUCCCGGCCAUGCUGUGGGAUCCUGGGAAUAGUACCACUCAUUUCUAUGGCUCAGUGCAAUUGGAUCUUGGGAGUUAUAUUUUGCAGAGGCAUCAGCCCUCAAGACCUCUGGCAAACUACAAUUCCCAGAAUCCCAUGCCACCACUUGAACUGCCAUGGCUCCCGGCUCCGUGCUGUGGGAUCCUGGGAGUUGUAGUUUGCCAGAGGUCUUGAGGGUUGGCACCCCUGCAAACUGUAACUCCCAAGCUCCAAUUGCAUUGAGCCAUAGAGAUUAAAGUGGUGCCAAACUGCAUUAAUUCCACAGUGUAGACCAGGCAUGGGCCAACUUGGGCCUUCCCU
Molecule: long non-coding RNA, 4462 nt
Organism: Anolis carolinensis (green anole)
Lineage: Eukaryota; Metazoa; Chordata; Lepidosauria; Squamata; Anolidae
Product: thialysine N-epsilon-acetyltransferase
Exons: 6
Source: RefSeq, a predicted model, not a curated record